AGUUUCAUUUCAAUCUUGGUAGCCUUGUGUACCGUCUAUUCCAAAUUGACAUAAUUUUGAAGUUCAACGACGUUGGCUAUCUCCUUAUUUAGGCCCUCCAAGAACCAAGCCAUGGUAGCUUCUGGCCGUUCGUCUAUUUGUGCCCUAAUCAUAGUUAUUUCCAAUUUUUUGUAGUAUUUUUCCAUUAACUUGGAGCCUUGAGUUAGGUGUUGCAGCUUCAGAUUCAUGUCCCUGUCGAAAUGGGUUGGUACAAACUGUUUCCUCAUAGUGGAUGUUAACUCUCUCCAAGUGGUGAUUUGUA
RNAcentral lists this long non-coding RNA (301 nucleotides) under Carica papaya (papaya). RNAcentral's name for it is "long non-coding RNA (CPAP_LNC010054)". Lineage: Eukaryota; Viridiplantae; Streptophyta; Magnoliopsida; Brassicales; Caricaceae. The record is from RNAcentral.